ACAACUGAUUAGAUGCUAAGUACAAUCCGCACAUGCGAACCUCGACGUAGGAUGUUACAAUAGUUCCCCUGAACAUACUCUCAGUGCAACAUGAUUGAAAUUAGGAUUUUCUGUUGUCUCGCCGUGAUCGCGGUAGCGAUAGCCGCACCACAGAAACCUGCGGAGCAGGUCAUUGCCAUACUGAAGCAAGAGUUUGACCAGCAAGCAGAUGGCUCGUAUAUUUACAACUAUGAAACCGAAAAUGGCAUUAAAGCGCAAGAGCAGGGACAGCUGAAGAAGGCCAGCAGCCCCGAUGCUAGUGACGUCAUCGUAGCCCAGGGUAGCUUCAGCUAUACUGCGCCUGAUGGAACUGUCAUAAACCUGAACUAUGUAGCCGAUGAUGAGGGCGGAUUUAAGCCUGAGGGCGCCCAUCUGCCAACCCCACCACCGAUACCACCAGCAAUACAGAAAGCCCUAGACUACAUCGCGGCCAACCCCCCACCACCACCGGGAAGAAACUAAGACUUGCUACAAACUCCUGCUCAACGAUAAAACUGCAUAGUUCCGUUAUGCUAAGUCCGAUACAUCAUACGAAACCAGCCAGAAUAGAUGUAGGCUGGUGAAGAUGUAACUAUUAUAUAGUAUGUUUGUCUUUAUGUGCGGUCAAACUGUGCAGUUUUAUCGAACUCUCUAUAGUGGACAUAAGCCGACUCCUUCUUGAACGACGACCUUGUACCGACAUUAAUCGCUUCCACUUCUUUGUAAAUACUCAUCAAACCUAACAAAUGGGAAACUAAGAAGCUAUUAACAAAAUGGUACUAUCAAUAUUAUACUCAGCAAUAUAAAAUGAACAAAAAUAGAAUAUGCUCAAGUAUCGAACUGUGAUAAACCAACGGACGGAUAUAUUAUUAAGUUGAAUAAAUGCAAAUCAGUGCCAAAGAUGCAUUGCAAAGGA
Molecule: RNA transcript, 934 nt
Organism: Aricia agestis (brown argus)
Lineage: Eukaryota; Metazoa; Arthropoda; Insecta; Lepidoptera; Lycaenidae
Gene name: endocuticle structural glycoprotein ABD-4-like
Exons: 5
Source: RefSeq, a predicted model, not a curated record